RNAcentral lists this transfer RNA (73 nucleotides) under Apostasia shenzhenica. Its description in RNAcentral is "tRNA-Cys". It matches the Rfam family "tRNA". Rfam says of the family: Transfer RNA (tRNA) molecules are approximately 80 nucleotides in length. Their secondary structure includes four short double-helical elements and three loops (D, anti-codon, and T loops). The record is from RNAcentral. RNAcentral also lists the same sequence under 1 other name. Lineage: Eukaryota; Viridiplantae; Streptophyta; Magnoliopsida; Asparagales; Orchidaceae.
GUAGGACGUAGCACUAGGCUAAGGCAUGAGUCUGCAAAACUUCUAUUCGUCGGUUCGAAUCCGACCGGUUCCU